ACACUGACCCAGUUCUUGGGGGAGGUGUGGAGAAAGCCUGAGGACAGAGACACAGAACAACAGCAAGCACGGCUGCUUUCCACCUCCGCUGAUUUCUGAAGGCAUGCAGCACUCGCUGAGUGGACAAACCGACACGCUUGGUGCCUGCCAGAAACUGCAACUGACCCCAGGCACAUGGGCCUGGAGCUACCUAGCAACCUAGGUAAAGCUCCCUAAACACCAAGAGAGGCAGACUUUAUAGCUCUACUGUGUAUUGGAUUCCUACAUGCAAGAGAUUCUGCAGCAAAGACAGCAGAUGAAAACCCUAGCCUGCCUGAAGCUUACAUUAUGGUUAAGUAGGGAACUGGUUACAGGUGAUGGAAAUUCUGGGAAGCCACCCUGGAAAAGGGAAGCAAUCAAACAUUAACAAAAACAGGAAGCAGCUAACAGCCUUGGGCUAGACGGACAGCAGAGGAGGCAGCAGGAGGUGACAGUGCCAGAAAUUAGAAUCUGGAGCCAACUAGAACUACAACCAGAGUGAGGCUGUCUGGAGUGACAUGGGACCGUGAAAGGAGGGGAGCUGGGGCCAUGAAGAAGAUGCUGUCAGAGAUCCCCAGGUAGGGAGAAGGGUGGACAGAAAUACCCUGGCUUCUCCCUCCUCCCGCUCACCAGUCUCCAGUCAGACCCUUCCUGCCUGGAAGCCCAAGGACAAGGCACUGAGAGAAGCAGUUCCCUGCACACAGCACUGAGGGGGCGGGGGGGGACAAGGAAAGAGUCAGGAGCAAACCCAGAGGCACGAGAAGUGGCAUCUGUUCUGAGCCAAAGCCCCCAGAAUGACUGGAACUCAGGAUGUAUAAGGUGAGGUGGAUUCAGAAAAUUGUGAGUUUAGAGAAGUAAGGUAGACUGAGGCCAGAUCCCAUCAGCACAUUCUCUGCCAGGACCUACAUUAGAGCAAAAUAAUGCCAGAUUUACGCAAUGCUGGGCUUCCAAGGACUUUCUUCAGACAAUUCAGCAUAAACACCUCUGAACAUCUUUGGAGAAAAUCCAAAAAUCUGGCCUUCCAGAAACAUUUGCUGCUAGACUUCUUACCCCUAACGCGAUGAAGAGUGAAAUGAGAACAGUCAAGAUCCUCAUGGCUCUCCAGAGACUGUCCUCAGCCCGUGGCUAUGGGCACCGAGCUACCUGCCAGGUGCUGUGCUAGGUGCUGGACCGUAUGCUGACUAUGACACAGUCCCUACCCGCAGGAGCUCACGGUCUGGUCACGAAUAACCAGCCGUUUAAAUGAAAUGUAAUAAAGACAGUGACAGAGCCAUGGAGACCCAGCUCUGGGAACACAAGGAAAGAAACCCAGGAGGGCAGAGCUGAGCCUUAGAGCACAGGAGGCCUGAACCGCCUCUGCAAGGAUAAGCGGGAAUUGGUCAGAUAAGGAAGUGUGAAGGCAAGCAGGGAUCGCAUCCUUGGGGAAAACGUGUAGCAGGAGCCAAGUCCUGGAGGAGUGAAGGAGAACGGGGUACCCAGGGAAGGGCAGGAAGGUUGGUGCUGCAGCCACAAGGAGACAGAGAAGCGAAGAGGCUGGGAGAGGUAGGCACAGCCAACCUGGGGCUGUGCACUGAAGCUUGCCUUUUAUUCUGCAGGAUUGGGGCUCAAGAAAGGUCCAACCCCUCAAAUCUCCUCUACAAAAUAAGCUGUCACCACCAAACCGUGAGACAAUCCAUGAGCAAAGGCCCUGGAAGCCCCAUCCUCUCACAUUAAAAAUCAAGAAAUUCUAGCCUUGGGAGAAAAAUGUGGCCCAAGGUCACAAGCUAGGACGGAGCUAGGACUGGAGCCCCAAGCCCGCUCCCAGCACAGGCUCCUCCACUGCAUUUGGCUGCCUGCUCCAUUGUCAGCAAAUCCCUGAGUGGGUACGCCUGAAAACUGCCCUACCAAGAACAUUCUACUAAUCUCACGUCUCAGUAGCACAUGUUUCAGACGUUUCCACUGAAGCCUCAUAAAGAAAGUUUUUUCUUCGCUCUUACUAUUCUGAGAUUGGUUCCAGAGCCCAGAUCUACUCUAGGCCAACGAGUAUUCGUAUUGCUAUUAACUGGGAAUGCAAUGCAGCUGCAGUGUAACGAAGAUGAGCUCAAAGAGCAUCCCGGAGACAUCUCAGCAAGGAAAGAGGUGAGCAAGCACAGGGCAAACCUCCCUCUGGUUGAUGCAUUCAUCAGAGGAGUAUCUGGAAAAAUGCAGAGGAAGACCUUUAAGUAUUCGCAUAUCAAGGACCUAUCGCUACGUAUGAAUCCACUCACUCCACAAAUAACUAAGUGAUCGUCUAUUAUGUGCCAGGCAGUGAGCUAUGUUCCGUCAGAAGAUGGGACAGAGGGAAAACCAGGAUAAAUCACACUUGGUCCAUAGAUAUGAAGAGAAAUUCACGGAGACAUAACCCAUCUUGGAAAAAACUAAACAGGCUACAGUGACUGGCAUCGAACCUGCACAAAUGAGUUUAUUUGGAGUACAAGAGGUGCAAAAGGUGCAGGCACAGAGAAAACAGGUGAACAGUGAUGGGGAGGCUAUGGAAUCACACCUGGAGGAGCCAGAGACCCGAGCCCUCCCGGACAGGUGCUCUCGGAAGAGAAGGGGCCUUGGGAGCCUUCUGAUUUCCUGUCAAUGCCCCUCAUUGGAUGAAGCCCACUGGAGGCCAGAGGGCAAGGGCACCAGCUUGAUGCCUUGUGGACAGAGGCUCAGAGUGCAGCAGAGAAAGGGGGACAUGACCUGGCUAAAGUACAGUCUGUGAACUUCGGGGCCCUCGUUUACAGUUAAAAAUUCCUUCCAGCAGCUUCAGAUCCUUGACGAAUGGGAGUUUUAAAAAUUAUAAAUGUUUAACCUACAAUGCUGAAUAACAUCACGAAGGUGACAAGGUAGAAAAAAUAUUAAUCAAAAUUCCUCUGAGGGAGAGUUUUGUUCUUCUGUUUAUGUUGUUGUUGUGUUUCUAAGGACUGUCCUGAGGAGUCAGACCUAGUUGUCAGCUGCCUGACAAGAAUCCAGAGGGAGGAGGGAAGGGCAGUGCGUGAGUGAGGGAGAAACAAGGCUUUGGAGCUCAGGCGGAGGUGGAAGGCUGUUAGCAAUCUGGUGUCGAGGGUGUUGCGAGGAGACACAGGAGGAGAGAGAAGAGAGCACGCUCCUAGAGAGGGGCCAGGCGGCUCUUCCUUAAACCCCUAGGUCUUUCUCAGUCCCACCAGGACUUAUUCGUUCUCGGCUCAAGCGGAUUUCUGGGGAAACCUGUACAGGCCACGCUUCAUUCACAAGGUGUGUCAUUCUGCUAGAAUCUUACGAGACUCAGAAGAUACCUGGGUUACAAAAUUAAACAUCAAAUCCCUCCCACAUUCCAGAGACUCUUGGAGGGAGCACAGAAGUACUUCCACAGCUGGCUGGUAAGUGCCGCUCAUGCAGCGGUGCACAGAAAGCAUCAUAUGCAUUCUUUCUGGCUUCUGGAAGGAAGACUAUCACAUACUAGCAAGAAAUAAUUCUAUAAAUGUGUAGAGUUUUCCUAACAUAGGUAAAUAGAGAGAGAGAGAAAUUUUCAAAGAAAAACUAUCAACUGGUGUUACUGGGGAGGAAGCGGGUUGUUGGGAGGACAGCUACUAACGCCCCACAGGGCACGGUCCUCCUGCGUCAUCCCAAGGGUCCAGCUUCCCAACAGGAAAUAUUCUAGGCAUGGAGCAAAAGAGUUCUAAUAAAAGAAUUAAAGGAAUGAUGAAAAUGGAGAAAAACAGAACAUUGUGUUUCCUGGGUGUUGGAGAAAUCUACUGCAAAAAGGCAGCUGUGAUUCUGGACUGCUGUUCUCACAGACCACAGCUGUGGGGCUUGAAAAGCAAAGCCUACAACAGUGAGUAGAGAAUGAUCAGAUAAUAUCGACACUUAAAAUGAUCAAAGUGUGAGGUCAGCUGGGACUUGUCCAGACAAUAUGGUCAGAAACUCAGAACCAUUAAGGACUUCUUUUUGCCUUUGAAUUUAUAGUGUCAUCUAUAUGCUUAUUAAGUAAUUCUAUUCUCUUUAAAGCAAGAUAAACACAAAGUAGCAUUCUUUUGUUGCUCACGGGAAAUCCUAUUCAUCCAUUUAUUCACUCAGAAAUCUACAUCGAGCACCUAAGCACUUCCAAACUGGAAGUGCAAGUGAGAAUCGCGGGGUUGACUGCUUCCCACAGCAAGGCGCCUCCGACUCCGGGCUCACAGGAAGGUGCUCUCCAGAUGCUGUGGAAAAUGCAAGGCCUUGUAGCUUUACCUGCUUAAAAGCAAGGAAACCAAAACUAUAUUAAAUUAGCAAAUUGAUAUUUAUCUGAAAUACUUUACUUUUAAAUUUACCUGCCGUGUGAUGUUUAGAAACAAACCAGGUGUAUGGAAUAUGUGCCAAAUAACAAAUUGACUUUGAAUCUACAGAGCCUCACAAAUUAGCUUCACUUCUCUUUCAAUGUUCAUAAAACUUUUCCUCUUUUAUAAUAAAAUUCCUUUUGCCUGUUUUUAAUUUUCUAGAAAUCAGAGCUCUACUAAUGUUGCUCAAAUCCAUGAUAAUUUGCUCCAGCAAUUAUUGUAACAGGCACAUGCCUUGUUCUGAUUUUCAGCGAAGUAUCUCCCUUACACUAGGUACCCAAAGGUAAACAAGUUGGUUACUCAGAACUUCUGUUUUGUUUAAUGGGUAAUACUAUCCUAAGCUUGAAUACACUAUUUCAUCUUUGAUGCUCCAAGGUGUGUACCAGCCUAGCACCGUACAUGAUGUCUGCUCUUCAGAAGAUCCAGUUUGCAAGGUUUUUUGUGCCUUAGUUAAAUAGACCCUCCGUACUCUGAGUGUAUUUACCUGAUGGUUACAGAAAGCACCGGAGAACGCCCCACACUCUCUCUGAAGGGAGUUAUCGUAUGAUUGUAGUUAUUUCCAAUUUGAAAGUUGAAGAUUAUAAAUAUAGAGAGAUGACAACUCUCUUCUUUCUUAAUCAAUACAUGUGUUAUUGCUCUGAAAACCAAAUGUCUUGAGCUUUACUUUUCAGGACACAGCUUCAAUGAGAAUUGGAAAGGAUAUAUAUCCCCUCUCACGGCAUUACCAGUGUUUGAGGAGUAGAAACUUUAUGGUCUCCGGUUGAUGUGCUGGAUGACAUUAUAGAGCCAGUGUUGGUUUCUUCAUGAACUCUACCAGCGGGCCAAUAUGUGGGAUUGCAGGGUUCUGGAGACAGAUAUUUACUUAUCUGUUUAUCUUUAGUGAGGUCCCUUCAGACAGCACAGAAGUGACAGAAAGAGUUUCUAAUGCGAGCAGUCUUCCUGUGCCUCUCCCGGGACUCCAGACCUAGGAGGCAGAGCUGGGUCAGGAUCUUUGAGAAGCACGCACAGAGAGGAAAUCUACUUGUGGACACAGCAACCCAGAUGUCUUAGGCGACGAGAUCUCCCAUACCAUCUGUUCACUGAUUCAGCCACACCUUCAUUCACUCACAUUUAUGAAGCAUCUGUCCAGUCUUCCGUCCUCCUCACAGAGGCCAUGCUUCCCUCUGCUCAGGCUCCCAGGCCCCCAGAAUCAGCCUGCCCUUACUGCAGGUGCUACAAUCUGUACAAGGAGGCUGGAUUUCCCAGGCAGGCUGUUGAUCUUUGGAUCUAGAAGUGACCUAAGAGAACACCCAUCCUAACCUCUCCCACUAAGGCUGACAGAGACUAAAAAUUGCCAAAUUCUUGCUUGUUCUGCCUCAGAACAAGGCAACGAGACACUGGGCCCACCAGCCACACCACACAGCUUCCUCUGAGACAUCCACCUUCAGAAACUAGGAGAUCUCCAGCUUCGCCCCCCAGGGUCCUCAAGUCAAUUGUAUCUCAAUCUCUGUGUUGUUUCCUGACCCUGUUUGUUUCAAGGAGGAGGCAAAGACUUGGAAGGGGCUUUCCUGAGAUGUCCCCUAGGACAGCUUCCCCAAACCUGGCUGAUCGUCAAAAUUACUGGGGAAAAUUUGGAAAUCAGAUUCCUGGUACAACUCCGCCCCUGGAGCCAUCAUGCUGGGUGACAGAGGCCUCGAGCCGGGGACAAGGGCCUCAGUUCCCCUCCAGCUUAUGGCUAAGAGAACCAGGGUGCUCAGACAGUGGUAUUUCAGCCUGGGACGUUCUGUCCUUAGCCAGAGGUAGUCUUGGUUGGAAUUCCAAUGAGUCUGAAUUUCCAAAAAUUCUAGCAUGAUGGCUCUAAAUGCAUAAGCAUUCCUUUCUGGUACUUGGAUGAAUAAAAGUAAGUCAUAUUAAACAGUCUACAAUAAAGGCAAACUUUUAGCCUGAAGAGAGAAUGCAUGUGGCCUCUGCCUGAACUUUAUCAAGUCAUCUUUCUAAUUAAUAAUCUUAAUUGAGUUACAAGUCUAAUCCUAUGCAGGUCCAGCUAAUUCUUUCUUCAGUAGCUGAUAAUGAAUAAUCUGGUGUGUCUGCCAACUUUAACUAAGUGGUUGGUGCCUGAACAAAGUCUAAACACUGGACCCCUGGAAAGACAGAAUUCUGGGAAUUAAAUGUUACUGGGAAAGGGCCUGGCCGAGGAGAGGUGGCAGCAGCUGGGGAAGCUGUUUUUGAUUGCCUAGAACUUCAGCUCUGGUUGGAUGAAUUGAUUCAUACUUUUCUAUCUGAAUAAUUUAUAUGGCCCUUUUUUUCUCAGACCCUGUAAACUGAAGUGAUCACAUUAACCUUUUCAACACUAGAAAUAGAAACACUGACUAGCUCCAUAUAUAGGAGGGGAAAAUGAAGCAAAAAGAAGUAAAUAAUAAUCCCGAGGAAUGAGGCAUGCAGAAAGUGAGUAAUUAUCCUGAAGGUAAAGAAGGGUUUGUCCUCUGAUUUCGAAAAAGAUUCCUCCUUUAAAGUGCCCAAUGAUGCUGGUAGGGACAGAGGAAUGCCACGUGGAGGACGUGGAAGAUAAGAAUAAGAAUAUAACUAGAACAGUGGCACGUUUGAGGCAAUAAAUGUGGAGUCUGGAGACUAAUAUAGAUGCCAAAUACAUGUUUUUUUAAACAACUGGAAACAACCCCAAUGUCCUUCAAUGGGUGUAUGAUUAACCAAACUGUGGAACAGCCAUACUGUGGAAUAUUACUCAACAAUAAAAAGGAACAGAGUAUCGAUACAAACAACAGUUUGGCUGGAUCUCAAGGGAAAUAUGUAGAGUAGAAAAAAAUCUCAGAAGGUUACAUACUGUAUGAUUCCAUUUAUAUAACAUCUUGAAAUAACAAAAUUAUAGAGCUGGAGGACAGGUUAGUGGUUGCCGGGAGUUAGGGAGAAGGGUGGGGUGGAAGUCAGCUGUGGCUCGAAAGGGCAGCACAGAGGAUCCUCAUGACAGGACUGCUCUCCGCUCUUCCCCUGACUGCAGUGGUGGUCACAGGCAUCUGCACACACGAUGGAACUAAAUGCACUCACACAAGGGUGCAGGUAAAAACGGUGAAAGCUGAGUGAGAUCUGUGGGCGGUACCAGUGUCAGCUUCCUGGUUGUGACAUUGUGCUGUAGUUUUGCAAAGUGUUGCCACUUGGGGAAACUGGGUGAAGGGUGCAAGGGAUCUACCUGCAUUAUUUCUUACAACAGUAUGUGAAUUUACAAUUAUCUCAAAAUAAAAAGUUUUUUUAAAAACACUGAAUAUAUUUAAGGAGAACAUGUUAAAGGUGAGUGGGAAAGUCUAUGAAAGAAAGGUAGAGGCUGUAUCAAUGUCAAGGCUAUCUGAACUACUUUUGAUCCCCCAGCCCUCACCUUCAAUACGUCAGAAAUCUUGCUAGCAAGCAGACGCGUGGAAACACCAACUCUCACACACAGACUGCGCUCCAAAGCAGGAGGGGAAGGUUGUGUUUGAAAACGUAGGUUUUAUUACCAUUCAGAUAUGGUGAGGCCGACUGAUCAAGAGAUGAUAGCUGUUGGAAAGAUAGUUUAUUCCUCACAGUUCCAGAGAAGAGGGGCACCCCGGACCAGGCAGGGCCACACGGGAAAGCACCAGGAUCUGUCAGGAGGCAGAGGGAGUGAGGGGAAAACGUGGGUGGGAGGUUUGUUGUGGUUUCCUCGGGAAGGACGGGAGAGGCACAGUGAGCAGAUUUAGGAUCAGCUAGUGUGAAUAAUUUCAAUGGGCUCCAGGGCACGGGGGCUGCCCCUAGUUGUGUGGUACUGGCCCUGAGCAAUUGAGGCAGGUAAAGAGUGGCCUGAUUGUCAGAGUCUGAUGAAGGAAGGGGUCAGGGUGCGGGGUAGGCUCUGUAUGGGUUGGCUGACAUGUGAAAGGCACACUCCCUAGAGAGAUGUUUACAAUCUGUAAGGAUUAGCUAACCGUGGGAGGGACCAUCCUCCCAGGUCAGCAAGGCCCCAGGUGUCAAAGCAUCAGAAUAAAAAGACAGGCAAAUACAGAGCAUUGUUGACCAUCACUUAGGAAAAACAGACCUCCUCUCAUAGCUGGCUUUCACACAGUCAUCAGGCAGGAGACGAUGUUUCAGCAAGACUUCCUGAGGUAUCCAGAUCAUUUCUUCUUCAACACUACAGAACUUAGAGCUUGUAACUCAUGAUUUUUUUUCAGCACUAAGAUCAUAUCCAGAUAUUUAAAUUUGUGCAAGUGUAUUAUCUGCCUGAGCAGCUACUCAGUUGCAUGGGCUAGAGCUCUCUCUCUUACUUCCGUUAUCUGUAGUGCUUAGAUCGUGAUAACCCCACAAUCAUGACUCAGUAACUAAUGGUAGGAUUACUGAUGACCUACCAUCCUUAGGAUAGAUUCUGUGAAGUACUUUUCCUUUCCGCAGAAGUAGCAAUAACUGUUCUCCAUCUACACAAGUACAACCAGUUAUUGAUUAUCCUUGGCAACCGGGAACAGGAUAGUAACUAGAGGGAGAUUUACAUUCAGAGAGGAAUGGCCCAAAGGUGAGGAGACAAGAGAAAUUGAGGAGGAGAACGUUCUUCCCAUUGUCCAUGCAAAUUGUUGGUGAAACGAUAGCAUUGUCCCAUUUGCACACCAAAGUGUUUUUGUUGUGUUUUCCCUUCCCCAAAAUAUCCCCAAGACAGUAGGGGCAGAUUGUUUGGGACUCUGCUGGACACUCACCUCCACAGGUGUCCGCCAUAAGGCCAUGUCAGUGAAGGGGGAGGCAGAGGGUGAACCGUGUCACUAAGCCUAUGUGUCCUCAGGCCACACACACACACACACACAACCACUUGCAGUGUUUAGUUGUCCCAAAUAUUGUCUCAAAUCUUCACUUUUCCUGAGUGGAUUUAUUUUUAGAAGAGAAUACUCAUUUACCGGGGCUUAAACAAUGCGUGUACAAAGAAAGAAUCCCAACCCUUCACUGGAUUACCUUCCCUCAACAGCAAAAUAUGCUUGCGGACAUUUAUGCAGUUCUAAGCGACAAGCUAGCACAGUCUCAACAGACUAAGACACAGUUAUUUUUACUCUCUCUUAGCGGGGCCCAAGAAGACUCUGAAACCCUUGGUUCAGUUUUCCCUCUGGCAACGGUGGCAGGUAAACGCCCCUCCCUGGCCUCGUGCUUCCACAUGGAGAGUCCCCAGUGCAGCACUGGGCUGGACAGUGGAUCUACGUGGAGAGCUUUUAAAAAUCCUAAGACCUGGUU
Molecule: non-coding RNA, 9527 nt
Organism: Equus caballus (horse)
Lineage: Eukaryota; Metazoa; Chordata; Mammalia; Perissodactyla; Equidae
Source: RefSeq, a predicted model, not a curated record